GACGAACGCUGGCGGCGUGCUUAACACAUGCAAGUCGAACGGAAAGGCCCUGCUUUUGUGGGGUGCUCGAGUGGCGAACGGGUGAGUAACACGUGAGUAACCUGCCCUUGACUUUGGGAUAACUUCAGGAAACUGGGGCUAAUACCGGAUAGGAGCUCCUGCUGCAUGGUGGGGGUUGGAAAGUUUCGGCGGUUGGGGAUGGACUCGCGGCUUAUCAGCUUGUAGGUGGGGUAGUGGCUUACCAAGGCUUUGACGGGUAGCCGGCCUGAGAGGGUGACCGGCCACAUUGGGACUGAGAUACGGCCCAGACUCCUACGGGAGGCAGCAGUGGGGAAUAUUGCACAAUGGGCGGAAGCCUGAUGCAGCAACGCCGCGUGCGGGAUGACGGCUUUCGGGUUGUAAACCGCUUUCGCCUGUGACGAAGCGUGAGUGACGGUAAUGGGUAAAGAAGCACCGGCUAACUACGUG
RNAcentral lists this ribosomal RNA (468 nucleotides) under uncultured bacterium. RNAcentral's name for it is "partial 16S ribosomal RNA". It matches the Rfam family "Bacterial small subunit ribosomal RNA", at positions 28 to 507 of the family's 1533-position model. The record is from RNAcentral.